This 458-nucleotide ribosomal RNA is filed under the name Cercopagis pengoi. Its description in RNAcentral is "SSU rRNA". It matches the Rfam family "Eukaryotic small subunit ribosomal RNA", at positions 522 to 889 of the family's 1831-position model. Lineage: Eukaryota; Metazoa; Arthropoda; Branchiopoda; Diplostraca; Cercopagididae. The record is from RNAcentral.
ACUUUAAAUCCUUUAACGAGGACCUAUUGGAGGGCAAGUCUGGUGCCAGCAGCCGCGGUAACUCCAGCUCCAAUAUUGUUGCGGUUAAAAAGCUCGUAGUUGGAUUCCUGUCUUCGGCCGGGCGGUGCCGCCCGAUAAUCAAGGGCGUCGCACUGCCUUGGGAGCGUUGGUGUCAAAGCCGCGCUCUUUUAACGGUCGGACAAUACCACCGGAGUGGCGGGGGAUAGGCGUCGGCUCUCGCAGUUCGACGCCGAAGGACCGCCCGUAAUCGUCCGAGGUGCCUUUAACCGGGUGUCUCGGGCGGCCGGUAACGUUUACUUUGAACAAAUUAGAGUGCUCAAAGCAGGUGCAUACCUUCGCCUGAAUAUCACAGCAUGGAAUGAUGGAAUAGGACCUCGGUCUUAUUUUGUUGGUUUUCUCUAGACCCGAGGUAAUGGUUAAUAGAGACAGACGGGGGC